RNAcentral lists this ribosomal RNA (253 nucleotides) under uncultured bacterium. RNAcentral describes it as "partial 16S ribosomal RNA". It matches the Rfam family "Bacterial small subunit ribosomal RNA", at positions 524 to 776 of the family's 1533-position model. The record is from RNAcentral.
UACAGAGGGUGCGAGCGUUAAUCGGAAUUACUGGGCGUAAAGGGCGCGUAGGCGGUCAUUCAAGUGAGAUGUGAAAUCCCCGGGCUUAACCUGGGAACUGCAUUUUAGACUGAGUGACUGGAGUACUGUAGAGGAUAGUGGAAUUUCCGGUGUAGCGGUGAAAUGCGUAGAGAUCGGAAGGAACACCAGUGGCGAAGGCGACUGUCUGGACAGAUACUGACGCUGAGGCGCGAAAGCGUGGGGAGCAAACAGG